AGCACGACCGCAUGAGAUGCGGUCCACUGCACAAGGCAUAGUCCACGCAUCGUGUUUCAUACGAUCUAGGUACGGAUGUGUGCAAUCGAGCAGUUGUAGAUGCAUGUGGGUGUGGUCAAAUAGUUCAGUUUGGUUCUAGAGUCCUAACAAGGUCUUAUACGUGAUUUACGCAACUCAAACAUGAUUUUAGGUCUUUAAAAAGAGACA
RNAcentral lists this long non-coding RNA (207 nucleotides) under Elaeis guineensis (African oil palm). RNAcentral describes it as "long non-coding RNA (EGUI_LNC073332)". Lineage: Eukaryota; Viridiplantae; Streptophyta; Magnoliopsida; Arecales; Arecaceae. The record is from RNAcentral.